GCUUUUUACCUGUAUUAUUAAUUUACAUGUAAUUUAACAAUGCUGAGACUAAUCAGUGCAAAUUCAUAAUUUUCAAUUGAUAUCAAAUUAAGGGCAUCAGGGAAUGUUGUAGGAUUGUGUGUGUUUGAUGUCUGUCUGUGAAUGUUUUAGGUGCUUUUUGAUGCUGAUUAAUUAUUGCACCAUUUUUUAAAUUGAUUUUUUUUUUAGGUUCAUGGUGAUACAGGUUAACUUUGAGGUUCAUGCAGAUGGUGUUUAAAACUAUCAGUCAGGAAAAACAAACUCAUUUGAACACAGCUUGAGUCUUCAUAUAUAAAAUGAUGGCAGUGCUUUUAAUAUGUUCAUGGUGAUACAGGUUAACUUUGAGGUUCAUGCAGAUGGUGUUUAAAACUAUCAGUCAGGAAAAACAAACUCAUUUGAACACAGCUUGAGUCUUCAUAUAUAAAAUGAUGGCAGUGCUUUUAAUAUGUUCAUGGUGAUACAGGUUAACUUUGAGGUUCAUGCAGAUGGUGUUUAAAACUAUCAGUCAGGAAAAACAAACUCAUUUGAACACAGCUUGAGUCUUCAUAUAUAAAAUGAUGGCAGUGCUUUUAAUAUGUUCAUGGUGAUACAGGUUAACUUUGAGGUUCAUGCAGAUGGUGUUUAAAACUAUCAGUCAGGAAAAACAAACUCAUUUGAACACAGCUUGAGUCUUCAUAUAUAAAAUGAUGGCAGUGCUUUUAAUAUGUUCAUGGUGAUACAGGUUAACUUUGAGGUUCAUGCAGAUGGUGUUUAAAACUAUCAGUCAGGAAAAACAAACUCAUUUGAACACAGCUUGAGUCUUCAUAUAUAAAAUGAUGGCAGUGCUUUUAAUAUGUUCAUGGUGAUACAGGUUAACUUUGAGGUUCAUGCAGAUGGUGUUUAAAACUAUCAGUCAGGAAAAACAAACUCAUUUGAACACAGCUUGAGUCUUCAUAUAUAAAAUGAUGGCAGUGCUUUUAAUAUGUUCAUGGUGAUACAGGUUAACUUUGAGGUUCAUGCAGAUGGUGUUUAAAACUAUCAGUCAGGAAAAACAAACUCAUUUGAACACAGCUUGAGUCUUCAUAUAUAAAAUGAUGGCAGUGCUUUUAAUAUGUUCAUGGUGAUACAGGUUAACUUUGAGGUUCAUGCAGAUGGUGUUUAAAACUAUCAGUCAGGAAAAACAAACUCAUUUGAACACAGCUUGAGUCUUCAUAUAUAAAAUGAUGGCAGUGCUUUUAAUAUGUUCAUGGUGAUACAGGUUAACUUUGAGGUUCAUGCAGAUGGUGUUUAAAACUAUCAGUCAGGAAAAACAAACUCAUUUGAACACAGCUUGAGUCUUCAUAUAUAAAAUGAUGGCAGUGCUUUUAAUAUGUUCAUGGUGAUACAGGUUAACUUUGAGGUUCAUGCAGAUGGUGUUUAAAACUAUCAGUCAGGAAAAACAAACUCAUUUGAACACAGCUUGAGUCUUCAUAUAUAAAAUGAUGGCAGUGCUUUUAAUAUGUUCAUGGUGAUACAGGUUAACUUUGAGGUUCAUGCAGAUGGUGUUUAAAACUAUCAGUCAGGAAAAACAAACUCAUUUGAACACAGCUUGAGUCUUCAUAUAUAAAAUGAUGGCAGUGCUUUUAAUAUGUUCAUGGUGAUACAGGUUAACUUUGAGGUUCAUGCAGAUGGUGUUUAAAACUAUCAGUCAGGAAAAACAAACUCAUUUGAACACAGCUUGAGUCUUCAUAUAUAAAAUGAUGGCAGUGCUUUUAAUAUGUUCAUGGUGAUACAGGUUAACUUUGAGGUUCAUGCAGAUGGUGUUUAAAACUAUCAGUCAGGAAAAACAAACUCAUUUGAACACAGCUUGAGUCUUCAUAUAUAAAAUGAUGGCAGUGCUUUUAAUAUAGGUUAACGCAGACAGACGCAUUUUGCCGGAAAACGAAUCUGACAUGCCACCUCGAGAUUUUAACCAAGGAAAGACAACUUGAUGUGCUUUGAUUUGAGGGGUCACUCAAUGCUGAACGAAAAUUAGGGACAUUGCUAUGUGAAGAAAUGUUAACAUUGCCG
Molecule: long non-coding RNA, 2046 nt
Organism: Saccostrea echinata
Lineage: Eukaryota; Metazoa; Mollusca; Bivalvia; Ostreida; Ostreidae
Exons: 14
Source: RefSeq, a predicted model, not a curated record